Molecule: microRNA precursor, 168 nt
Filed under: Pelobates cultripes (western spadefoot toad)
Lineage: Eukaryota; Metazoa; Chordata; Amphibia; Anura; Pelobatidae
Source: RNAcentral
GCAGACACAUCCCAACCAAUCAGCAGCAGACCCUCCCUCCCAGACCCUCCCACCUCCUUGACAUCUCACUAAGAAUACAGCUUCACAAUGAAUGUAAAAUGGAUGCUGUCCAGGAGGUGGGAGGGUCUGGGAGGGAGGGUCUGCUGCUGAUUGGCUGGAAUGUGUCUG